RNAcentral lists this ribosomal RNA (550 nucleotides) under uncultured bacterium. RNAcentral describes it as "bacterial SSU rRNA". It matches the Rfam family "Bacterial small subunit ribosomal RNA", at positions 355 to 896 of the family's 1533-position model. The record is from RNAcentral.
UAGGGAAUCUUCGGCAAUGGACGGAAGUCUGACCGAGCAACGCCGCGUGAGUGAAGAAGGUUUUCGGAUCGUAAAGCUCUGUUGUAAGAGAAGAACGAGUGUGAGAGUGGAAAGUUCACACUGUGACGGUAUCUUACCAGAAAGGGACGGCUAACUACGUGCCAGCGGCCGCGGUAAUACGUAGGUCCCGAGCGUUGUCCGGAUUUAUUGGGCGUAAAGCGAGCGCAGGCGGUUAGAUAAGUCUGAAGUUAAAGGCUGUGGCUUAACCAUAGUACGCUUUGGAAACUGUUUAACUUGAGUGCAAGAGGGGAGAGUGGAAUUCCAUGUGUAGCGGUGAAAUGCGUAGAUAUAUGGAGGAACACCGGUGGCGAAAGCGGCUCUCUGGCUUGUAACUGACGCUGAGGCUCGAAAGCGUGGGGAGCAAACAGGAUUAGAUACCCUGGUAGUCCACGCCGUAAACGAUGAGUGCUAGGUGUUAGACCCUUUCCGGGGUUUAGUGCCGUAGCUAACGCAUUAAGCACUCCGCCUGGGGAGUACGACCGCAAGGUUG